Molecule: ribosomal RNA, 371 nt
Filed under: Hestiasula masoni
Lineage: Eukaryota; Metazoa; Arthropoda; Insecta; Mantodea; Hymenopodidae
Description: partial 12S ribosomal RNA
Source: RNAcentral
AUACCCUAUUAUUUUUAUCGUGAAAUUUUAAGCUUAAGUAUUAAUAGUUAUGAUCUUUAAACUUAAAGAAUUUGGCGGUAUUAUAGUCUAUUUAGAGGAAUCUGUUAUGUAAUCGAUAGUCCACGUUGAACCUUACUUAUAUUAAUUCUUGUAUACCGCUGUUUAAGAAUAUACUUAUAGGUUAUUUUCUAGAUAUAUAAUUAAUUAAUAUUUCAAGUCAAGGUGCAGUAAUAUAUAAGUUGAAUAAUGGAUUACAAUAAAUUUUAUUUAAUAUGGAUUUAUAUUGAAAUAUAUUUUGAAGGUGGAUUUAAUUGUAAUUUUUUAUAGAUUAUUAAAAUGAUUUAUAGCUCUAUAAUAUGUACACAUCGCCC